CUGCUCUUUUGCCUUUUUGUGUUGGCUACACAUUUUUGCUUUUUUAAAGCAAUGACUUUUAAGAGUAGAAAUCCUCCAUAGUUAAUGCGGCAGUCAUGGAGGGCCUGCCCAGAACUCCCUUGGAGAAGGAGCUCCCCUCUCAGCUGUGAGGGGCACGUGAGUGGCUCCUUUUGCAGCCCCUCAGGAUCCGCCACAGCGGCCGUCCGAGCUGCAGCAUCUCAGCUGAACCCACUCUCUGCCUAGGCAGCUCCCAGCCAGUGACCGAGCCUGGCAGCAGGACUAGGCCUGGCCAUUCCUGCCAACACAACUGACAACCCUCCAGGAGCGAUCUGUGUGCCAGAGCCCUGUUGGGUUGAGGGAAAGGUCCCCAGGGCUGCACUGCUGUCGGGGCAAUUUCUCACCAAUCUUCCUUCCCCUCUUCUUUCACUGGUGUCAGACCGACAUUGCGUCUGAAGAUUUUCCCUGCCUACCCCUGUUCCCUCUCCCCUCUACUUUUCAGAGGCAUUAUCUCUGGCACCUUUAUCUUUGUUGUGACGUCUGCUUCCUAGAGGACACAAGUGAAAGUUAUUAUUAAACAAUGAAUUAGUUCGGAGAAGAACAACAGAGAAAAGAACAAAUCAACUAAGUCCUACCAUUUGAACACAUCCUAGUGCACGAACAUAAAUCCUCAGGAAAUCUGUCAGUAUAAAAGAAAUACCUCAGAAGCCAAUCUCUUCUGUUCUUUAAAAAAGUGCUUGAUGACUGGUCCUUAAUUUGUCAGAAGAAAUAACUGUAGCAGUGGAAGUUACCCCACAGAUUUUUCGUGACAUUCCAACAAAAUUAAGGCUUUUGACUUAACGCAAGAUGGCACCCUGUGCAACCACAGUCUGAGCAAACCUGAGUUCCAAUUUCAGUUCAAGGACGGUGUCAAGAUGGCUGCGUAGGCAGACUCUGAACUCACCUCCCACAGACACAAUGAAUUUACAACUACUCUUGGAACAAUCACCCCUAAGAGAGAACUGAAAACUGGAUAAAAAGAACCCUGACAACAAGGGACAGUGCUGACUGAGGUGGAAGAGGCAGAAAUUCCUUUCUGGAGAGAAAAAAAGCCAUCUUUGAGCUGAAACACUUCAUGGCCAGCCAGGAGUAAUCCUCAGGUGAUGGGACCUGACAGCUGCAGCAGGCCAGUGCUUCUCAAAUAGCCACAUUGGGGCUGGACCCAUGGCUGAGUGGUUAAGUUCACGUGCUCCACUUUGGUGGCCCAGGGUUUCACCAGUUUGGAUCCUGGGCACAGACCUAGCACUGUUCAUCAAUCCAGUCUAAGGCAGCAUCCCAUAUACCACAACCAGAUGGACCUACAACCAGAAUAUACAGUUAUGUACUGUGAGGCUUUGGGGAGAAGAAGAAGAAGAAAAAAGAAGAUUGGCAACAGAUCUUAGCUCAGGUGCCCAUCUUUAAAAAAAAAAAGAAAACCAGCCACAUAGGGGAUUGACCCCAUCUUCCAAAGCCUGAAACAAUCGAGUGCUUCCAUGCCUGGACCCACUCAGCUGCAGUCCUGAGAAAGCUGACAAUAUCCUUGUAGGCCAGAGGCCUACAGCAAUUAUAAGCCCCCGAGCCUAGCAACCAGCCACACUGGGGGCCUACUCACUUAACAGAAAAACUGCAACAGGAGUGUGCUAUUAGACAUUGCAGCCAACUGUGCUGGGGCAUUCCACACCUGACAAAGUGAUUGAAGGGAUCACACAGCCACACACAGUGGAGUGUUACAACCAGCUGGCCAAGUGGACAGCCUAACCUCCUCAGACACCUGCAGCAACAGCAACCCUGCCAUGACAGAAGGACACAUGUAGCCCAUACGGGGGACACCCCUGGAAAAUUUGGAACUGGUGAUAAGAGGGAAGAACACUGCAGGGCCUCAUAAAGCAUCUCUUAUAUAAGGCCACCUCUCCAAGAUUGGGAGACAAAGCUGACCUACCUGAUACAUAGAUAUAGCACAGAGAAAGAGGCAAAAUGAGGAGGCAAAGGAAUGCAUUCCAAGUAAGGGAACAGGACAAAACCUCAGAAAAGAACUAAACAAAGCAGAAAUAAACAAUCUACCUGACAAAGAGUACAAACAAAUAGUCAUAAGGAUGCUCACUGAUCUUAGGAGAAGGAUAUGUGAAUAUGGUGAGAACUCCAAAGAAUUGGAAAAUAUAAAAAGGAACCAAUCAGAAAUGGAGAAUAAAAUACUGGAAAUUAAAAAUUCACUCAAUUUUUGAGUCCCUCAAUUGAGAGACUCAAUAGCAGAGUAGAUGAUACAGAAGAAUGAAUUAGAGAGCUGGAUGAAAGGCUAGAGGAAGUCACACAAGCUGAACCGAUAAAAAAAGAAUUAAAAAGAACAAGGACAAUCAAAGGGACCUCUGAGACAACAUCAAGUACACUAACAUCAUGUUAUAGGUGUCCCAGGAGUAGAGACAAAGGGGCAGAGAAUCUUUUUGAAGAAGUAAUAGCCGAAAUCUUGCCUAACCUAAGGAAGGAAGCAGACACCCAGGUACAGGAAGCAUAGAGAGCACCAAACAAGAUAAACCCAAAGAGGCCCACACGAAGACACAUUAUAAUUAAAAUGUCAACGAUUAAAGAUAAAGAGAGAAUAAUCCUAAAAACUGCAAGAGAAGGGCAACAAGUUACAUACAAAGGAAACUCCAUAAGGCUAUCAGCUGAAUUCUCAGCAGAAACCUUACCAGCUAGAAGGGAGCAGCAAGAUAUAUUUAAAGUGCUGAAAGGAAAAACCUACAGCCAAGAAUACUCUACCUGGCAAGGUUAUCAUUCAGAUUAGAAGGAGAGAUAAAGUAUUUCCCAGACAAACAAAAACUAAAGGAGUUUAUCACCGAGAAACCAGCUUUACAAGAAAUGCUAAAGGGACUUAUUUAAGUGGAAGAGAGACCACAAAUAGGAAUAAGAAAAUCAUCAAAACAAAACAAAAAUAGGCAAUAAUAUCACUGGGAAAGACAAAUAUACAAUAAAGGUAGCAGAUCAACCACCUAUGAAGCUAAUAUGAACAUCAAAAAACAAAAGUACUAAAGUUAUCUAUUUCCAUGACAAGAGGGUAAUGGAUACACAUUCACAAAAAAGAGGUUAGAUACGAUAUCAAAAACAUAAAAUGUGGGAGGAGGGGAGUAACGGAGCAAGCUUUUAGAAACAGGUCAAACUGAAGAGAUCAUCAACUUAAUAUAGAUUGCUAUAUAUUUAGGUUAUUAUAUAUUAACUUCAUGAUAAUCACAAAUCAGAAACCUAUAACAAACAUACAAAAAUUAAGAGAAAGGAAUCCAAACAUAAUACUAAAGAAAGCCAUCAAACCACAAGGGAAGAGAGCAAGAGAAGAAUAAAGGAACAGAGAAGAAGUACUAAAACACUCAGAAAAGAGUAAUAAAAUGGCAAUAGGUACAUUCUUGUCAAUAGGUACUUUAAAUGUCAAUGGACUAAAUGCUCCAAUCAAAAGGCAUGGGGGGCCGAUUGGAUAAAAAAACAAGACCCAUAUGUAUGCUGCAUACAAGAGACACCCUUCAGACCUAGACACUCACAAACUGAAAGUGAAGGGACAGAAAAAGAUACUCCAUGCAAAUGGCAAAGAAAAGAAAUCUGGGGUAGCAAUACUUAUAUCAGACAAAAUAAACUUUAAAACAAAAACUAUAACAAGAGACAGAGAAGGGCACUACAUGUUGAUAAAGGGAACAAUCCAAUAAGAGGAUAUAACACUUGUAAAUAUCUAUGCACCCAACAUAGGAACACUGAAAUAUAUAAAGCAAUUAUUAACAGACUUAAAGGAGAAAUAGACAUCAACACAAUAAUAGUAGGGGACUCUAACACUCCACUUACAUCGAUGGGUAGAUCGUCCAAACAGAAGAUUGAUGAGGAAACAUUGGCCUCAAAUGACACAUUAGACUAUUUGGACUUAGAGAUAUAUACAGAAUUUCCAUCCCAAAACUGCACAGAAUACACAUUCUUUUCAAAUGCACAUGGAACAUUCUCCAGGAUUGAUCAUAUAUUAGGCCACAAGACAAUUUUAGGGGGCCAGCCUGGUGGCAUAGUGGUUAUGUUCGGUGUGCUCCACUUCAGCAGCCCAGGUUCAUGGGUUUGGAUCCUGAGCAUGGACCUAUGCCACUUAUCAAGCCAUGUUGUGGAAGUGUCCCACAUACAAAAUAAAGGAAGAUAGGCACAGAUAUUAGCUCAGGGCCACUCUUCCUCAAGCAGAAAAGAGGAAGAUUGACAACAGAUGUUAUCUCAGGGUCAAUCUUCCUCACCAAAAAACAAAAAUAAAAAAAAUUUCAGUUCAAAAAUGAGUUUGACCACCCCAUCCAAGCAUCUUCUGCAAAAAUGGCUUUCCAGGGACUACUUGGACGGACUCUUUCUUGUCCUGAUCUAUUUCCAUUGGACUUUAAAAUUGUAGUUUAAAAUUGCAAGGAAAAAGAGAUGGUGGGUGGGUGCGUGGGAGCAUUUGCAGUUUCAAAAAAUG
RNAcentral lists this long non-coding RNA (4471 nucleotides) under Equus caballus (horse). RNAcentral's name for it is "lncRNA (ENSECAG00000049635.1)". Lineage: Eukaryota; Metazoa; Chordata; Mammalia; Perissodactyla; Equidae. The record is from RNAcentral.